This 1421-nucleotide long non-coding RNA is filed under the name Vitis vinifera (wine grape). RNAcentral describes it as "long non-coding RNA (VVIN_LNC002524)". Lineage: Eukaryota; Viridiplantae; Streptophyta; Magnoliopsida; Vitales; Vitaceae. The record is from RNAcentral.
UGUGAUUCAGUUUUGUAUUGAUUUUUUUUUCCUUCUCAAUUCAGUGACAUUUUUUAAAUACCAACCUAGGAAGAGGGGAAAAAAAACAAAUAUUUGAAUUUUACGUUUUAAGUUCUUUGUUUCUCAAAAAUCUCAACUAAACCAGAGGGGAAUAUUCUGGAAUGGGGCUGCAUUGGGCGAGUAUCAGAACUCCAAAAGACGCCCACCACAAAGCCCAAACCCAUUCCGGAAAGUCUCUGUACUCGCCGGCCUGUGGGAUAAUCCGUGUUUGGUUCUGAGGUCGGCGGUGGGGCACAGAUUGCUUCACCGCCACCUACGGAGUUUGAAGGUAUUCACUAAAGCUACUUAAACGACGUCGUUCAACGUCCGCUUACCCCAAAAACUAGUGAACGGCGUCCUUUUCAUGAUUCUUGGGAUAAUUCGUGUUUGGUUCUGAGGUCGGCGGUGGGGCACAGGUUGCUUCACCGCCACCUACGGAGUUUGAAGGUAUUCACCAAAGCUACUUAAACGACGUCGUUCAACGUCCGCUUACCCCAAAAACUAGUGAACGGCGUCCUUUUCAUGAUCCUUGGAAGUUGGAACUGAUUAUUACCACUUUGCCUAAAACGCUCCGCUUCUUUGGCAAACAGGAGCCUUAUCUGGGAAGGCGAAAGAAUCGGGUAAUCUUCUUUCUCUGAUCUUUCUUCUUUCAAAUAAUAUGCGCUCCGCUUGGCUGCUAAGAAAAUGGAGCAAUUUAAUUUUGCUUUACUUGAGUGAAGCCAAAAUCUUCAUUUAAGCGAGUGUAAUGCGCCUACUAGCCCGGCUUCAUUUGUGUGGAGGCUAAAAAAUUAAAAUCGUGAGAGUCCAACUCUCAUUUUCUUUUCUUUUAUAUUCUUUUUAGUUUCUCGGAGGCCAAACGGUGGGUUUUGUUUUAAUUGCUCAGGAGAACCGUGAAAAAGAUUGCAUUGAGAAAUCAAAUAAACAAUAAAACCUCGAUAUCUCUCCGUUUGGUGAGAAUUAGGUUUUGUGAUUCAGUUUUGUAUUGAUUUUUUUUUUCCUUCUCAAUUCAGUGACAUUUUUUUAAUACCAACAUGGGAAGAGGGGAAAAAAACAAAUAUUUGAAUUUUACGUUUUAAGUUGUUCUUUGUUUCUCAAAAAUCUCAACUAAACCAGAGGGGAAUAUUAUGGAAUGGGGCUGCAUUGGGCGAGUAUCAGAACUCCAAAGACGCCCACCACAAAGCCCAAACCCAUUCCAAAAAGUCUCUGUACUUGCCGGCCUUUGGGAUAAUCCGUGUUUGGUUUUGAGGUCGGCGGUGGGGCACAGGUUGCUUCCCCACCACCUACGGAGUUUGAAAGUAUUCACUAAAGCUACUUAAACAACGUCGUUCAAUGUCUGCUUACCCCAAAGACUAUUGAACGGCGUCCUUUUCAUGAUUCUCGGA